Apteryx owenii (little spotted kiwi) is the source of this 1520-nucleotide long non-coding RNA. The record is from Ensembl. Lineage: Eukaryota; Metazoa; Chordata; Aves; Apterygiformes; Apterygidae.
GAAUUGAUCCUGCUUUCAUCUCGCUGCUCCGGGCGGUAGUAGUUACCUUUGUGCUGCAUUCCUGCUGCUUACCCAAUGACGAGCUCUGCAAAAGCAAUACUUGACCUUGGGACUGUGCUGCCGCUGUUACCUCUGCUAGCAGCCUUGGUGCUUUUGUGCAGACCAGUUUUGUUCGAAUUCGAUGGCUGCGAUGUUGGGGCUCCUGUCAGCCCCGGAGGAGCUUCCCAGCCGGGGAGUGCGUUGCGUCAGACAUCUCCCUCGUGGUUUUCCUUCGUUUCCACUCCGUGGCCAAAGGGUUGGAGGCUCUACUUUUGCAAUCCAUAUGUUGUGUAAAUCCCAGGAGAAAUUUCUUAAAGUUCUGCUCAGGAAAGAAAAGCUAGAAAACGCGACUCAGACCAGAGAUUUCAACCUGUUCAGUUUGGGGAGGCUUCGAGGUUCCCAGCGGAAGAGCAGACUUCUGGAAAUGGCACAUCUGUGUAGCACGAAUUUUAGUUGCCUUUCAAGGACUCUUUCCAACUAGUCUGCAGACUCCCGGAGGCCUGUAAAGCACAGGCUGAAAACCAUUGUUCCAAGCCCAGGAAAGGCGGAUUAGAAAGGACCCAACUGGGCUGCAGUUUGAGCUCUUUCCUGGUGGAAAGCUGGGACUCCUGAUCUGCUGGGGCUGACUCCUGGCUCUGCAGCGCCGCUUGUUAGCACGGCGGAGCUUGGCGUGCGAGCACCGAAAUCCUGUUUGCUGGCUUGCAUGGGUUUGGUUAUUAAACACGUCAGCAAUCCCCAUCUGCCUCGUAAGCCUGCCUUUGGAAAUGCACCCCGGAGCGCCAGUCCUGCGAGGUGCCCUCCGCCUUGGAGCGGAGCCGGAGGGAGCGAGGGAGCAGGAGUUUAGGCCCGCACGGACAGACCGUUUCAGCCCUUUUAAUUGGGCUGCCCGGUUGAGGGACAGGAGGUUCUCAAGCAGAGCUACCGUGCGCGGUGGUUAAAGCCUCGGCGAAUGGCCUGGUGCAUACCCCGGAGGGCUUCAGUGCUCUGCGUACCCUUACUAGGGAUGUCCGGGAAGGGGAUGUCUUGGAGGAGGUGGCAAUGGUCUCUUCUCCUCCUUCCCUCGCUGCAAAUGGUCCAGCGUUUUGCAAGGUGCUACACAUUGUAUGCAAAUGUGGAAGUGUUUUGGUGCCUCUAGAGAGGCUUUGACUUUCUGUCUUGAAGCUAUUAAUUACCUAGACAAGGAAAGCUGAACCUACCCAAUUAAUGGCUCCUACUGCUUCGACCUGUCUCUCCAGCUGCUCUGCUGUGAACUAAUGAGCAGCUCCAUUCCCUGGGCCACCAGCGAGCUCCAACUUCUCGUGGCUUUUCCGGGGGAGAAAAGAAAGAAGCAGAAAUGGGCAGGAGCAAAUGGCUGAAAUUCUGUUAUUAACCUGGGCUGAAAAUUGACUCUAUCUUCUGUAAUUACCUGGGCGAUAUUAGGAGAAAGGCCUCGUGGAAGGUUCAGAGCUCGUGUUUGACAGACGAUUGCAAGCAAUUGAGUU